RNAcentral lists this ribosomal RNA (119 nucleotides) under Rattus norvegicus (Norway rat). The record is from RNAcentral. Lineage: Eukaryota; Metazoa; Chordata; Mammalia; Rodentia; Muridae.
CUCUAUGGCCAUGUCACCGUGAAUGCACGUGAUUUCCUCUGAUCUCAGAAGCUAAUUGCAGUUAGGCCUUUUCAUUACUUAGAGGGGAGACCAACCUGGGAUACCCAGUGCUGUGGGCU